UACGAAGGGGGCUAGCGUUGCUCGGAAUCACUGGGCGUAAAGCGCACGUAGGCGGAUUGCUAAGUCAGGGGUGAAAUCCUGGAGCUCAACUCCAGAACUGCCUUUGAUACUGGAGAGCUCGAGUCCGGAAGAGGUGAGUGGAACUGCGAGUGUAGAGGUGAAAUUCGUAGAUAUUCGCAAGAACACCAGUGGCGAAGGCGGCUCACUGGUCCGGUACUGACGCUGAGGUGCGAAAGCGUGGGGAGCAAACAGG
RNAcentral lists this ribosomal RNA (253 nucleotides) under uncultured bacterium. RNAcentral's name for it is "partial 16S ribosomal RNA". It matches the Rfam family "Bacterial small subunit ribosomal RNA", at positions 524 to 776 of the family's 1533-position model. The record is from RNAcentral.